GACGAACGCUGGCGGCGUGCUUAACACAUGCAAGUCGAACGGUAAGGCCCUGCUUUUGUGGGGUGCUCGAGUGGCGAACGGGUGAGUAACACGUGAGUAACCUGCCCUUGACUUUGGGAUAACUUCAGGAAACUGGGGCUAAUACCAGAUAGGAGCUCCUGCUGCAUGGUGGGGGUUGGAAAGUUUCGGCGGUUGGGGAUGGACUCGCGGCUUAUCAGCUUGUUGGUGGGGUAGUGGCUUACCAAGGCUUUGACGGGUAGCCGGCCUGAGAGGGUGACCGGCCACAUUGGGACUGAGAUACGGUCCAGACUCCUACGGGAGGCAGCAGUGGGGAAUAUUGCACAAUGGGCGGAAGCCUGAUGCAGCAACGCCGCGUGCGGGAUGACGGCCUUCGGGUUGUAAACCGCUUUCGCCUGUGACGAAGCGUGAGUGACGGUAAUGGGUAAAGAAGCACCGGCUAACUACGUG
RNAcentral lists this ribosomal RNA (468 nucleotides) under uncultured bacterium. RNAcentral describes it as "partial 16S ribosomal RNA". It matches the Rfam family "Bacterial small subunit ribosomal RNA", at positions 28 to 507 of the family's 1533-position model. The record is from RNAcentral.